RNAcentral lists this ribosomal RNA (504 nucleotides) under uncultured bacterium. Its description in RNAcentral is "partial 16S ribosomal RNA". It matches the Rfam family "Bacterial small subunit ribosomal RNA", at positions 30 to 523 of the family's 1533-position model. The record is from RNAcentral.
AUUGAACGCUGGCGGCACGCCUAACACAUGCAAGUCGAGCGGUAACAUGGGUAGUAGCAAUACUAUUUGAUGACGAGCGGCGGACGGGUGAGGAACACGUAGGAAUCUGCCUUAAAGAGUGGGAUAACCAGAGGAAACUUUGGCUAAUACCGCAUGAACUCGAGAGAGAAAAGCUGCCUGCAAAGGUGGCGCUUUAAGAGGAGCCUGCGUCCGAUUAGCUAGUUGGUGAGGUAAAUGCUCACCAAGGCGAUGAUCGGUAACUGGUCUGAGAGGACGGACAGUCACACUGGGACUGAGACACGGCCCAGACUCCUACGGGAGGCAGCAGUGGGGAAUCUUGGACAAUGGGGGCAACCCUGAUUCAGCGAUGCCGCGUGGGUGAAGAAGGCCUUCGGGUUGUAAAGCCCUUUAGGCUGGGAAGAAGAUUGGUGGUUUAAGAGACAAUCAAUUUGACUGUACCAGCAGAAUAAGCACCGGCAAACUCUGUGCCAGCCGCCGCGGUAA